GAUGAACGCUGGCGGCGUGCCUAAUACAUGCAAGUCGAGCGAACAGAUGAGGAGCUUGCUCCUCUGACGUUAGCGGCGGACGGGUGAGUAACACGUGGAUAACCUACCUAUAAGACUGGGAUAACUUCGGGAAACCGGAGCUAAUACCGGAUAAUAUAUUGAACCGCAUGGUUCAAUAGUGAAAGACGGUUUUGCUGUCACUUAUAGAUGGAUCCGCGCGGCAUUAGCUAGUUGGUAAGGUAACGGCUUACCAAGGCAACGAUGCAUAGCCGACCUGAGAGGGUGAUCGGCCACACGGGAACUGAGACACGGUCAAGACUCCUGCGGGAGGCAGCAGUGGGGAAUCUUCGGCAAUGGGCGAAAGCCUGACGGAGCAAGGCCGAGUGAGUGAUGAAGGUCUUCGGAUCGGAAAACUCUGUUAUUAGUGAAGAACAUAUGUGGAAGUAACUGUGCAGAUCGUGACGGUACCUAAUCAGAAAGCCACGGCUAACUACGUG
RNAcentral lists this ribosomal RNA (497 nucleotides) under uncultured bacterium. Its description in RNAcentral is "partial 16S ribosomal RNA". It matches the Rfam family "Bacterial small subunit ribosomal RNA", at positions 28 to 507 of the family's 1533-position model. The record is from RNAcentral.